AUACGUAGGUGGCAAGCGUUAUCCGGAAUUAUUGGGCGUAAAGAGGGAGCAGGCGGCAGCAAGGGUCUGUGGUGAAAGCCUGAAGCUUAACUUCAGUAAGCCAUAGAAACCAGGCAGCUAGAGUGCAGGAGAGGAUCGUGGAAUUCCAUGUGUAGCGGUGGAAUGCGUAGAUAUAUGGAGGAACACCAGUGGCGAAGGCGACGAUCUGGCCUGCAACUGACGCUCAGUCCCGAAAGCGUGGGGAGCAAAUAGGAUUAGAUACCCUAGUAGUCCACGCCGUAAACGAUGAGUACUAAGUGUUGGAUGUCAAAGUUCAGUGCUGCAGUUAACGCAAUAAGUACUCCGCCUGAGUAGUACGUUCGCAAGAAUGAAACUUAAAGGAAUUGGCGGGG
Molecule: ribosomal RNA, 392 nt
Filed under: uncultured bacterium
Lineage: Bacteria
Description: partial 16S ribosomal RNA
Rfam family: Bacterial small subunit ribosomal RNA
Source: RNAcentral